Molecule: transfer RNA, 71 nt
Filed under: Bacteroidota bacterium
Lineage: Bacteria; Pseudomonadati; Bacteroidota
Also listed under: 4 other names
Description: Bacteroidetes bacterium (activated sludge metagenome) tRNA-Gln
Rfam family: tRNA
About the family: Transfer RNA (tRNA) molecules are approximately 80 nucleotides in length. Their secondary structure includes four short double-helical elements and three loops (D, anti-codon, and T loops).
Source: RNAcentral
UGUCCUAUGGUGUAAUGGUAACACUGCAGAUUUUGAUUCUGCCUUUCUAGGUUCGAAUCCUGGUAGGACAA